This 103-nucleotide transfer RNA is filed under the name Orobdella tsushimensis. Its description in RNAcentral is "tRNA-Val". Lineage: Eukaryota; Metazoa; Annelida; Clitellata; Hirudinida; Orobdellidae. The record is from RNAcentral.
GUCGUAACAUAGUAGACGUAAUGGAAAUUGCAUCUGUCAAAUUAUAGCAUAUAUUAAUGCCUUUUAUUUACACUAAAAAAAAAAUAUUUUUUAUUUAAUUUGA